Molecule: long non-coding RNA, 611 nt
Organism: Eutrema salsugineum
Lineage: Eukaryota; Viridiplantae; Streptophyta; Magnoliopsida; Brassicales; Brassicaceae
Exons: 2
Source: RefSeq, a predicted model, not a curated record
ACGUAUCUAGUCUUUACGAAUUUUACAAUACAUAAUUACAAACAUUCAGUUACAUAAUGGCUAAACACUUGUACUUUAUAUUGAUGACCGUGCUUUUAUUUCUCAGUGUGUCCAAAAUCUGGUGGGAAACUGCUAAUAAAACGCGAGUUUACAGGACAAAAGAGUGGCUCGAUAGACUUUUUAAAUCAGGAACUGCGUUACUUCGUAUCGGGUUCGAUGAAGAUCAAGAGUACUUUGAAUCUUAUUUUCUGCUAUAGUCUAUUACGCCAAGUUCACAUGUAUUAUAUAUGGUUUUCCCAAAGGCUAUACGUUUUUAACAAAAAUAUAACAUUUAUAUGUAAUCAAACUAUAAUCGCAGAAACGGGACAUUUGUCGGGAGAUUCAAGUUGGGUUGAUAAGCUAGCGAAUAAAAGCACAGGCUGCCCAGCCAAGAAGCCCUACUCUAAGCCUAGCGUACUUUAAACACAUUUUCUGUAUCCUACGCCGUUCACAUUUUGUAUUCUCUGUUUAAUUAUGCUUUACUAAGAUACUAAUAUGCAUGAAACUAUAUCUUAGUAUCCGACGACUAUCCGCAUAAUAAAAAAAAUUUAUACUUUUUAUAUUUUAAAAAA